UCCCAUUCCGAACAGGAUGGUUAAGCACUAAAGCGCUGAUGGUACUACAAGGGAGGCCUUGUGGGAGAGUAAGUCGUCGCCGGGU
Molecule: ribosomal RNA, 85 nt
Filed under: Clostridium algidicarnis
Lineage: Bacteria; Bacillati; Bacillota; Clostridia; Eubacteriales; Clostridiaceae
Source: RNAcentral